Schistosoma mansoni is the source of this 46-nucleotide non-coding RNA. NCBI's taxonomy places the organism in Eukaryota, Metazoa, Platyhelminthes, Trematoda, Strigeidida, Schistosomatidae. The record is from Rfam.
GUACUGCUGUGGAGUCCCAGAAUUGGACGAAACGUACUUCCAGUGC